Long non-coding RNA from Anas platyrhynchos (mallard), 1345 nucleotides. RefSeq lists it as uncharacterized. NCBI's taxonomy places the organism in Eukaryota, Metazoa, Chordata, Aves, Anseriformes, Anatidae. The record is from RefSeq and is a predicted model, not a curated record.
ACAACCUGCUGUGGUUUCAUGCUCAACCUGGAUCUACGCUGAAUCUACCUGCAGUUUCACGAGGGAGAUGGAGAAUCUGCUUUUUCAUCUUGAUCAUCAUAUGAAUGGUGGAGAAAACUGUCAAGAGAAUAAGAGCAGAGAGACAGUGCCCUGCCUGCUGAGCAGAUCUGAGAGUGUUCCCUCUUCCCUGAAGAAGAACAGAUGAAGAGCAAAACUGCAUAGUAAACUCCCGCGGUGUUGGUGCCAUGAAAUACAUUCCACUCAGACAAGUAAAUGGAUACAUCAUUAAUGGUCUUAUGUAGUGCAACAAAACAACUUGUCAAGGCAGUUCCUACGAAUUUGCAGGCAGGACAAAAUUCACAUGUGCCCUGGUAAAUUAAAUCCAAGCACAGCUUUUUAAAAAUGUGAACAAAGGAAGAUGUUUUGAAUUGCUGCAUGAUGCUGCCUUCUGUGAGGUGCAUUAAUUUAACAAGUAUUGCUUAAUCGAUAAAAGCUCUAAAAAAAUGUGCAACUUGGUCUUCGAAAAGACACAAAUAGGCUUUUUAAAUGUUAACUUUCUAAAGCUGUCAAUUUGCAUGUACUUGUGUGCUUUAAAGAUAAAAAAGCAGCAACUCCCUGCAGCUCUUCAGCUCAAAUCUGAAGUAUUACAGGCUGACUUUCCGUCUCGAGAAUGUUAAUGAAAUUCGCUUUGUGUUAAGAUACAAUGCAAGACUAAUCUUGGCAGAUCACACAUUCUGCUGUUGAUUUACCUUUUUUUCUUCAGAGGCUGCAAAGAUAUUGUAGGGUUACUUCAGUGCAUGUUCCAAACUUUUGUUACACAAACCUCAAGGGCCUCUCCUCCAAAUUAUGAAGACAAGCAAUAAAGAUCAGAGCCAGGAUGGAAAGCUGAGGGAACAUGUUUAGACAAAGCACACUGAAGAUCAUUUAAAAAGAUUUAAUCACAGACUUUAAACCCUCCCAGCCCCCACCUCCAUAUCAAGAUGAAAUCAUUACCUACAGUUAGCCUCACAUUUUGAUAUCUCAGAAUUGAAAUGCUUGUAACCAAAUGAUGCUAAAAUUAGAACCAAGAACUCCUUUCUAGCCCUGCAACCUAGAAGUAAACCCAAGACCUUUCCAGGAGAGAGCAUGAACUAAGUAAUGCACAUUUUUGCUGUGUACUUUGCUGGGAUAGGAAGAGAAGAGAUUCUUGAAUGAGAUCAGCAAAGAGAAAAUUUUUGCUGCAGUAUUUUCAGUCAGACUUGAACAACCUCAGUAAUGAAACAAGACUAUCUAUCUUACGUGGAAAACCAUAGAGUUUAUCUUUGUAUUGUUCUAUACAACAUUGACUGCUUUGGCUGUGACAGAA